AAAACCGCCAUGCAAUGGGAAGACGUGAUGUGGAGUGAAAUAUAGUAACGAAGCCCGUGAGCCAUGCGUCAAGAAAAGCCGCUAUUGUUUAUAUUGUACCCGUACCGUAAACCGACACAGGUGGAUGAGGAGAGAAUCCUAAGGCCGGCGGAAGAAGUAUUGCCAAGGAACUCGGCAAAAUGGCCCCGUAACUUAGGGAGAAGGGGUGCCUGCGAGAGCAGGCCGCAGAGAAUAGGCUCAAGCAACUGUUUAGCAAAAACACAGGUCUAUGCGAAACCGAAAGGUGAGGUAUAUGGGCUGACGCCUGCCCGGUGCUGGAAGGUUAAAAGGAGAGGUUAGACGCAAGUCGAAGCUUUGAAUUUAAGCCCCAGUAAACGGCGGCCGUAACGAUAACGGUCCUAAGGUAGCGAAAUUCCUUGUCGGGUAAGUUCCGACCCGCACGAAAGGCGUAAUGAUUUGAGCGCUGUCUCGGCAAUACAUCCGGUGAAAUUGAAGUGCCAGUGAAGAUGCUGGCUACCCGCGCCAGGACGGAAAGACCCCAUGGAGCUUUACUCCAGUUUGGCACUGGGGUCCGGUGUUGCAUGUACAGGAUAGGUGGGAGGCUGAGAGAUAGUGACGUCAGUUGCUAUGGAGCCGCUGUUGGGAUACCACCCUUGUGAUAUUGGGCUUCUAACCAGCCGCCGUGAACCGGCGGUGGGACAAUGCCAGGCGGGGAGUUUGACUGGGGCGGUCGCCUCCGAAAGGGUAUCGGAGGCGCCCAAAGGUUCCCUCAGAAUGGACGGAAACCAUUCGAAGAGUGCAAAGGCAGAAGGGAGCUUGACUGCGACACCGACGGGUGGAGCAGGUACGAAAGUAGGGCUUAGUGAUCCGGUGGUAUUAAGUGGGAAUGCCAUCGCUCAACGGAUAAAAGCUACCCUGGGAUAACAGGCUUAUCACUCCCAAGAGUUCACAUCGACGGAGUGGUUUGGCACCUCGAUGUCGGCUCAUCGCAUCCUGGGGCUGUAGUAGGUCCCAAGGGUUGGGCUGUUCGCCCAUUAAAGCGGUACGCGAGCUGGGUUCAGAACGUCGUGAGACAGUUCGGUCCCUAUCCGGCGUGGGCGUAGGAUAUCUGAGAGGAGCUGUCCUUAGUACGAGAGGACCGGGAUGGACGGACCGCUGGUGGACCGGUUGGCUUGCCAAAGCCAUGGCCGGGUAGCCAAGUCCGGAAGGGAUAAACGCUGAAGGCAUCUAAGCGUGAAGCCCCCCUCAAGAUGAGAUAUCCCAUUCUUUAAGAAGUAAACCCCCUUGAAGACGACGAGGUAGAUAGGGCAGAGGUGGAAGUGUGGUAACACAUGGAGCUGACUGUUACUAAUCGGGUGAGGGCUUGACC
RNAcentral lists this ribosomal RNA (1369 nucleotides) under metagenome. RNAcentral describes it as "bacterial LSU rRNA". It matches the Rfam family "Bacterial large subunit ribosomal RNA", at positions 1538 to 2925 of the family's 2925-position model. The record is from RNAcentral.